Molecule: ribosomal RNA, 436 nt
Filed under: uncultured bacterium
Lineage: Bacteria
Description: bacterial SSU rRNA
Rfam family: Bacterial small subunit ribosomal RNA
Source: RNAcentral
GGACCCGCACAAGUAGUGGAGCAUGUGGUUUAAUUCGAAGAUACGCGCAGAACCUUACCAACACUUGACAUGUUCGUCGCGACUUUAAGAGAUUAAAGUUUUCGGUUCGGCCGGACGAAACACAGGUGCUGCAUGGCUGUCGUCAGCUCGUGUCGUGAGAUGUUGGGUUAAGUCCCGCAACGAGCGCAACCCUCACUUUUAGUUGCCAUCAUUAAGUUGGGCACUCUGAAAGAACUGCCAGUGAUAAGCUGGAGGAAGGUGGGGAUGACGUCAAGUCCUCAUGGCCCUUACGUGUUGGGCUACACACGUGCUACAAUGGUAUUUACAACAGGAAGCAAGACGGCGACGUUAAGCAAAUCCUUAAAAAGUUACCUCAGUUCGGAUUGCACUCUGCAACUCGAGUGCAUGAAGUUGGAAUCGCUAGUAAUCGUAGAUC